ACUGGUGUAAGAGUGUAGGCCGUGACAUAGGCAAAUCCGUGUCACAUUAAGGCUGAGACUUGAUGCAUACCCGUUGUGGGGAAUUCAGUGAUCCUAUGCUGCCGAGAAAAGCCUCUAGUGAGUUCAUACACGGCCCGUACCCCAAACCGACACAGGUGAUCAGGUAGAGAAUACCAAGGCGAUCGAGAGAACUGUGGUUAAGGAACUCGGCAGAAUGCCCCCGUAACUUCGGGAGAAGGGGGACCAUGCCCGGUGAACAUCUUCACGGUGGGAGCUGGGCGUGGUCGCAGAGACCAGAGAGAAGCGACUGUUUACUAAAAACACAGGUCCGUGCGAAGACGUAAGUCGAUGUAUACGGACUGACGCCUGCCCGGUGCUGGAAGGUUAAGAGGACCGGUUAGCCGUAAGGCGAAGCUGAGAAUUUAAGCCCCAGUAAACGGCGGUGGUAACUAUAACCAUCCUAAGGUAGCGAAAUUCCUUGUCGGGUAAGUUCCGACCUGCACGAAUGGCGUAACGACUUCUCUGCUGUCUCGACCACAGACUCGGCGAAAUUGCACUACGAGUAAAGAUGCUCGUUACGCGCGGCAGGACGAAAAGACCCCGGGACCUUUACUAUAGCUUGGUAUUGGCGUUCGAUUCGGUUUGUGUAGGAUAGGUGGGAGACUGUGAAGCAUGCACGCCAGUGUGUGUGGAGUCGUUGUUGAAAUACCACUCUGAUCGUAUUGGACGUCUAACCUCGGCCCAUGAUCUGGGUUAGGGACAGUGCCUGGUGGGUAGUUUAACUGGGGCGGUUGCCUCCUAAAGAGUAACGGAGGCGCCCAAAGGUUCCCUCAGCCUGGAUGGCAAUCAGGUGUUGAGUGCAAGUGCACAAGGGAGCUUGACUGUGAGACUGACACGUCGAGCAGGGACGAAAGUCGGGACUAGUGAUCCGGCACCGGCAAGUGGAAGCGGUGUCGCUCAACGGAUAAAAGGUACCCCGGGGAUAACAGGCUGAUCUUCCCCAAGAGUCCAUAUCGACGGGAUGGUUUGGCACCUCGAUGUCGGCUCGUCGCAUCCUGGGGCUGGAGUAGGUCCCAAGGGUUGGGCUGUUCGCCCAUUAAAGCGGCACGCGAGCUGGGUUUAGAACGUCGUGAGACAGUUCGGUCUCUAUCCGCCGCGCGCGUAAGAAACUUGAGGAAGGCUGUCCCUAGUACGAGAGGACCGGGACGGACGAACCUCUGGUGUGCCAGUUGUUCCACCAGGAGCAUGGCUGGUUAGCUACGUUCGGAAGGGAUAACCGCUGAAAGCAUCUAAGCGGGAAGCCUGUUCCAAGAUGAGGUUUCUCACCACCUUGCGUGGUUAAGGCCCCCUACAGACCAUGGGGUUGAUAGGCCGGAACUGGAAGCGCAGCAAUGCGUGGAGGUGACCGGUACUAAUAGGCCGAGGGCUUG
RNAcentral lists this ribosomal RNA (1430 nucleotides) under metagenome. RNAcentral's name for it is "bacterial LSU rRNA". It matches the Rfam family "Bacterial large subunit ribosomal RNA", at positions 1506 to 2925 of the family's 2925-position model. The record is from RNAcentral.